UAGGGAAUCUUCGGCAAUGGGGGGAACCCUGACCGAGCAACGCCGCGCGAGUGAAGAAGGUUUUCGGAUCGUAAAGCUCUGUUGUUAAGGAAGAACGAGUGUGAGAAUGGAAAGUUCAUACUGUGACGGUACUUAACCAGACAGGGACGGCUAACUACGUGCCAGCAGCCGCGGUAAUACGUAGGUCCCGAGCGUUGUCCGGAUUUAUUGGGCGUAAAGCGAGCGCAGGCGGUUAGAUAAGUCUGAAGUUAAAGGCAGUGGCUCAACCAUUGUAGGCUUUGGAAACUGUUUAACUGGAGUGCAGAAGGGGAGAGUGGAAUUCCAUGUGUAGCGGUGAAAUGCGUAGAUAUAUGGAGGAACACCGGUGGCGAAAGCGGCUCUCUGGUCUGUAACUGACGCUGAGGCUCGAAAGCGUGGGGAGCGAACAGG
RNAcentral lists this ribosomal RNA (429 nucleotides) under Bacteroidota bacterium. RNAcentral describes it as "Bacteroidetes bacterium partial 16S ribosomal RNA". It matches the Rfam family "Bacterial small subunit ribosomal RNA", at positions 355 to 776 of the family's 1533-position model. The record is from RNAcentral. Lineage: Bacteria; Pseudomonadati; Bacteroidota.